CAGCCGCCGCGGGAAAACGUAGGUGGCAAGCGUUGUCCGGAAUUAUUGGGCGUAAAGGGCUCGCAGGCGGUUUCUUAAGUCUGAUGUGAAAGCCCACGGCUCAACCGUGGAGGGUCAUUGGAAACUGGAAAACUUGAGUGCAGAAGAGGAGAGUGGAAUUCCACGUGUAGCGGUGAAAUGCGUAGAGAUGUGGAGGAACACCAGUGGCGAAGGCGACUCUCUGGUCUGUAACUGACGCUGAGGAGCGAAAGCGUGGGGAGCGAACAGGAUUAGAUACCCCUGUAGUCCCUGUCUCUUAUAC
This 301-nucleotide ribosomal RNA is filed under the name uncultured bacterium. RNAcentral describes it as "partial 16S ribosomal RNA". It matches the Rfam family "Bacterial small subunit ribosomal RNA", at positions 509 to 807 of the family's 1533-position model. The record is from RNAcentral.